UGUAUCGGAAGCCUGACGAGGAUGAGAACCUCCGGGGGCAAGAGGUUCGACCCGAGCGAAGCGAGAGAACGUUGCGUCAGCAACGGCCCGCAGGGCGAGCCAUCCUCUAUCACCGGCAG
RNAcentral lists this small RNA (119 nucleotides) under Salmonella enterica subsp. enterica serovar Derby. RNAcentral's name for it is "RtT sRNA". It matches the Rfam family "RtT RNA". Rfam says of the family: This family represents a bacterial cis-regulatory element known as RtT RNA. The exact function of RtT is unknown although it is thought that it may be involved in changing the cellular response in relation to amino acid starvation. The record is from RNAcentral. Lineage: Bacteria; Pseudomonadati; Pseudomonadota; Gammaproteobacteria; Enterobacterales; Enterobacteriaceae. RNAcentral also lists the same sequence under 6 other names.